GAUGAACGCUAGCGGCAGGCUUAACACAUGCAAGUCGAGGGGUAACAGGGAGUGCUUGCACUCCGCUGACGACCGGCGCACGGGUGCGUAACGCGUAUGCAACCUACCUUUCACAGGGGGAUAGUCAAGAGAAAUUUUGAAUAAUACCCCAUACGUUCUUUUAAUAGCAUUUUUAAAAGAAGAAAAUUUCGGUGGUGAAAGAUGGGCAUGCGUCCUAUUAGCUAGAUGGUGAGGUAAUGGCUCACCAUGGCAACGAUAGGUAGGGGUCCUGAGAGGGAGAUCCCCCACACUGGUACUGAGACACGGACCAGACUCCUACGGGAGGCAGCAGUGAGGAAUAUUGGACAAUGGACGAAAGUCUGAUCCAGCUAUGCCGCGUGCAGGAUGACGGCCCUACGGGUUGUAAACUGCUUUUAUACAGGAAGAAAAACUCCGACGUGUCGGGGCUUGACGGUACUGUAAGAAUAAGGAUCGGCUAACUCCGUGCCAGCCGCCGCAGUAACAC
Molecule: ribosomal RNA, 505 nt
Filed under: uncultured bacterium
Lineage: Bacteria
Description: bacterial SSU rRNA
Rfam family: Bacterial small subunit ribosomal RNA
Source: RNAcentral